AUGCUCCGUACCUACACCGUACUGCUCCUCAUUGCACAUGCUCAUGUGCAGAGCCACUUUUACUACCCCUGCUCCGCAAGAAUAUUCUGGAAAAUUCAUGCGCUCAUCAACAACACCGACGGUUUUGUUACUCGGGAAGUCAAACUUGGCUACUUUAUCGGGUACAAGGAGCAUCGCAGUUCGGCAGAGAGAAAGGCUAAUGCUCAUGAAAUGAUCGAGAGUCUUGAGCAUGCUAAUACAGGUGCUUUUGAUGAUAUCAGGACAGAUAGCGAAACUCACUUUUUUGAUUUGGACGAUGCAGAGCGGAUGAUCGAACGGGAUUCUAUUGAAAGAACUAAUGUGAGUGAGGAUUAGGCUUAGGCUUAGGCUAGGCUUAGGCUUAGACUCAAGCUUAGGCGUAGGCUUAGGCUUCACGUGUUUUCAGCUCGACCAUUCGGUGUAAUUUGUGCAAACGCCGUCACGCGCAAAUGCAGACAUUUUUGCCCGCGCUGCGGUGAAAUUCCUCUUGGGGAAUUCAAAUAUUUUUCCCGCCUUUUUUGAAAAUUUUCGAGGCAUUGGUCGAGCUGAAUACACGUGGGCUUAGGCGUAGGCUCAGGCUAGCUUAGGCUUAGGCUUAUGUUAGGAUUAGUCGUAUGCUUAGCACACUGUGUAUCUGCGUGCAAUUCCUGGACAACGUACUCUCAACAAGCAGAUGUUUGUCACCUGUGGAAGGAAUAUACUUGCUCUCGGAAAAAUUGUGAAUAGAGAGUAUUAA
This is an RNA transcript of Caenorhabditis elegans, 754 nucleotides long. It is a transcript of the gene named Non-coding transcript of protein-coding gene T02H6.3b, with no coding region annotated. Lineage: Eukaryota; Metazoa; Nematoda; Chromadorea; Rhabditida; Rhabditidae. The transcript is spliced from 4 exons. The record is from RefSeq and is marked reviewed.